UGGGGAAUAUUGGACAAUGGGGGCAACCCUGAUCCAGCAAUGCCGCGUGUGUGAAGAAGGUCUUCGGAUUGUAAAGCACUUUCGACGGGGACGAUGAUGACGGUACCCGUAGAAGAAGCCCCGGCUAACUUCGUGCCAGCAGCCGCGGUAAUACGAAGGGGGCUAGCGUUGCUCGGAAUGACUGGGCGUAAAGGGCGUGUAGGCGGUUUACACAGUCAGAUGUGAAAUCCCCGGGCUUAACCUGGGAGCUGCAUUUGAUACGUGUAGACUAGAGUGUGAGAGAGGGGUUUGUGGA
Molecule: ribosomal RNA, 295 nt
Filed under: uncultured bacterium
Lineage: Bacteria
Description: partial 16S ribosomal RNA
Rfam family: Bacterial small subunit ribosomal RNA
Source: RNAcentral